Molecule: ribosomal RNA, 497 nt
Filed under: uncultured bacterium
Lineage: Bacteria
Description: partial 16S ribosomal RNA
Rfam family: Bacterial small subunit ribosomal RNA
Source: RNAcentral
GAUGAACGCUGGCGGCGUGCCUAAUACAUGCAAGUCGAGCGAACAGACGAGGAGCUUGCUCCUCUGACGUUAGCGGCGGACGGGUGAGUAACACGUGUAUAACCUACCUAUAAGACUGGGAUAACUUCGGGAAACCGGAGCUAAUACCGGAUAAUAUAUUGAACCGCAUGGUUCAAUAGUUAAAGACGGUUUUGCUUUCACUUAUAGAUGGAUCAGCGCUGCAUUAGCUAGUUGGUAAGGUAACGGCUUACCAAGGCAACGAUGCGUAGCCGACCUGAGAGGGUGAUCGGCCACACUGGAACUGAGACACGGUCCAGACUCCUACGGGAGGCAGCAGUAGGGAAUCUUACGCAAUGGGCGAAAGCCUGACGGAGCAACGCCGCGUGAGUGAUGAAGGUCUUCGGAUCGUAAAACUCUGUUAUCAGGGAAGAAGAAAUGUGUAAGUAACUAUGCACGUAUUGACGGUACCUGCUCAGGAAGCCACGGCUAACUACGUG